GAUGAACGCUGGCGGCAUGCCUAAUACAUGCAAGUCGAACGGACCGAAGGGAAAGCUUGCUUUUUCUGAAGUCAGUGGCGAACGGGUGAGUAACACGUAGGUAACCUGCCCAUGUGCCCGGGACAACGCCUGGAAACGGGUGCUAAAACCGGAUAGGUAGAGAGAUCGCAUGAACUUUCUAUUAAAGGGGCUACGGCCCUGAACAUGGAUGGACCUGCGGUGCAUUAGCUAGUUGGUGAGGUAACGGCCCACCAAGGCGACGAUGCAUAGCCGACCUGAGAGGGCGAACGGCCACAUUGGGACUGAGACACGGCCCAAACUCCUACGGGAGGCAGCAGUAGGGAAUUUUCGUCAAUGGGGGGAACCCUGAACGAGCAAUGCCGCGUGAGUGAAGACGGUCUUCGGAUUGUAAAGCUCUGUUGCGAGAGAAAAACGACACGGAUAGGGAAUGAU
Molecule: ribosomal RNA, 453 nt
Filed under: uncultured bacterium
Lineage: Bacteria
Description: bacterial SSU rRNA
Rfam family: Bacterial small subunit ribosomal RNA
Source: RNAcentral